GGAGCGGGCUUGCUCGCGAAGGCGGCAUGUCAGUCAGCAUCAAUGUCGACUGACAUGCCGCCUUCGCGAGCAAGCCCGCUCC
RNAcentral lists this unclassified non-coding RNA (82 nucleotides) under Pseudomonas migulae. Lineage: Bacteria; Pseudomonadati; Pseudomonadota; Gammaproteobacteria; Pseudomonadales; Pseudomonadaceae. The record is from RNAcentral.